This is a long non-coding RNA of Suricata suricatta (meerkat), 3718 nucleotides long. NCBI's taxonomy places the organism in Eukaryota, Metazoa, Chordata, Mammalia, Carnivora, Herpestidae. The record is from Ensembl.
CAUCUUUGAGGGAGAGAGAGAGGGAGCAGGAAGGGACCCAGAGAGGGAGAGAGAGAAUCCCAAGCAGGCUCUGUGCUGUCAGCGCAAAGCCCAACAUGGGUCUCAAUCCCACACCCUGAGGUCAUGUCCUGAGCCGAUAUCAAGAGUUGGUAGCUCAACCGACUCGCCAGCCAGGCGCUCCUCUGAGAGAGUUUCUUAACCUGCCUUUUAACCCAUCAAUUUCUCAACUGCAUCAGUUCCACUAUUGAUCCUUCUAGUAUGUUCUUUACUUCAAUCACUGUGGUUUCCAUGCCUAUUAUUUCUACUUGGUUCUUCUUUUUCCAGUUUCUUGUUCUUAUUUGAUAGUCUAGCAAAUGAUCUCAUCUUGCUUGGUUUGGUUUUUACGCCUAUUUUGUCUCCGUCCAUUCCGCCUCCCCCCUCCUAUCUGUUUCCAUUGGAAAACAGAUUCUGUAAUUCCCUUUUGUGGAUUUCUUUUAAAGGAGCUGAAGUUCUCAGAAUUCUCAUCAUUUUGGCCUAAGAGUGCAUAUUCCCAUGGGGCACAGGGUCCGGGGUCCUGUGACGCACGGAGAGGCCAGCGUCCCUGCUGGGUGUCAGUCCCCUGAGCUCAGGACCCAGAAGCCCUGGCUGAGCCCUGGGCAUGCAGACACCGCUCAGCCCUGCCCUGCCACCAGGAGACUGCUCUGGGCUGCUUUGGUGCUCAGUCCCCGGGAAGCAGCAGAUCCCAGGGGGGUUGGAGGGGUGGUGGGGCCAUGGAGGUGGUCUUUCUGUCCUCCUCGGCUCCUCACCUGCAGAGUUUCUGCAUGAUCCGUUUAUGCUGAGGAUAUCUGCACUAGCUGCCAUAGAGCUGAGCCUCCUGCCGUUGGUCACAGCGCUGGCCACACACCACCGGCGGUUCAGAGCGUCCUUUCCCUGCCAGGUUUUUCCUCCCACUUUGCUCCUUUCUGUCCAUGUUUCCCUCUAGAUUUUCUUCAAGUUGGAUCUUGGGGGAGGCUGCCUCCUGGAGUCUGAGAAUCGUCGUCCCGGGUUAUGAUUGCCACCUAGCGGCCAGUGCGAGAAGCGCAUGGCUGUGCCUUUGGUCUGACUUCCUUCUAACAGUGCUAUGCAAAACAGAAGGUAAGCCAAAUAAGUGAUUUUACGUUGUCUGGUAGUCUCGCUAUAAAGGUAAAAAGGAAUAGGUGAUUUAAUUUUAUUAGUAUAAUUUAUUUAACCCAGUAUAUCCACAUAAUAUUUUGACUGUAAUCAAUGUUUUGUUUUAUUUUAUAUUUCAUUUUAUUUUUAAUAUGAUUUAAUUUAAUUUUAGAGGGUGUUGAGAGGCAGCGGGAAAGAGAGAGAGAAUCUUAAGCAGGCUUCACGCUCAGUGCAGAGCCCAACAUGGGGCUCGAUCUCACAGCCCUGGGAUCAUGACAUGAGCCGAAAUCAAGAGGCAACUGACUGAGCCCGGCAGGCGCCCCUGAUGGUAUAUUUUACGUGCUGUGUCUCGUACUGAGUCUUUGAAAUCCAGGGUGUAACUUGCACUUCCAGCACACCUCAAGUAAGAAUCUAAAUUUUCAUCAGGAAUACUCGAGCUGCAUUUAAGUUUCACAAAAAUUACAGCUGAAAAGGUUGAUUUCUAAAUCAAAGGUUGAUUGAUACCCAAGUUGUUCCAAAUACGAAUUUUCGCAACUAGUUAAGUGUCGUUACUGGAGGAGUUCCACAGUUUAUCUGUUUGCAAAGGGACCCUCUGUAGGGCAGGAUCCGCUGCCCCAUGUUCUCGUUCUGAGCAGAACCGUGUUUGACACACUGGCUGCUCCCCACUUUCUGUGUCCACAAGUGAGCUGGCUUCCUACCUACCCGAAACGUCUGAAUGGGAUGCGACGAGAAAGUUCGCCGGUCAGGUCCGGAGGAUGUCACGGGUCACGCAUCCGCUGCACCUGUGCCCGCAGCCUGGGGCGUCCUGGGGCGGCUUACAGCCCAGCUGCCGCCAACCGCAGCCAUCAGUCCUCUCCGGGAAUGUCCUCAGCUGAAGAGAACCGUGCAGGGCAAGGCCGUGCCCCCUUUCUGAGCAGCCACAGCCCUGAUUGGUCAGGGGGGUUGUAAAGGCCCAAUCUCUUCACCUGAAAUGAGGGUAAGUGGGGAAGCCUGACGCUGGGGCCAGUCUCGGAACCGGAACCGGGUAGGGAGCCGCCUCUGAGAAGCUUCUCUUCGGCUAUGCUUCACCUAGGAGGGGGCCCCGGAGAGCAGAUGCCAGGAUGGGGUUCUGGACCUGGGCCGGGGGCUGCUGGCCGGCGGCGAGGACUCCGGGCCUGUGUCCCUGGCGCAAGGUAACAAUGAAGCGGGCAAAGUGUCACCGGGGCCGUGUUGUGGUGGAUGGGGAUUCACCCGUGGGGUCCACGCAUCAGGAGUGGGGAGCACACGGAGGGAGGGGAAGCCACAAGGGCAGUGAGAUGCUGUGGCUGUCGCUAAGCACAGUUAAGUUCUGGGGGAAGAGAAAAGGCUGAGUUGAGUCCAGGGCAGUUAAAGGCUCCCUGUGAGAGGUGGCGCUGCCCCGUUGGGAGCAGGGAAGAGGCGCUCCCCGCCUGGUUGUCACAGCAGAGAGAGCGGAGGACCAGGUCCCGGACCGUGUCACGCAGCAGCGGGGCCCAGGCUGACCCGGGCGAACGCAGGUCGGCCAUGAGCUCAGGGCCCUGCCGGAAGGCAGGUAGGUACCUCGGCGUCAGCCCCAACGCCCCCUCUGGCCGUGACACUGUGCCAGGCCUGCCGAGAGCUGAAGGAAGCUGGGCCCAAGGGCCCCCUAACCCCCUGUGCGUAAGAUGGCGCCUGGACGCCGGGAGUGCUGGGUCAGGGGGACUGGAACCUCAUACCAGCCGGGGGAGAUUUUCCUGAUUGGGGAGCACUCUUCCAGGUGGCAAGUGUAAGCCCCCAGCCAGGCCCCUGCAGAUGGUGCCCACCUGCUGCCCGGACGGCUCCCGGCAGAAAUGCCCGAGUUGCCCUGGCAGGCGGUGGACGGAGGGUCAUGAGGGGCAAGCGCAGACACGGUAGGGGAGGGCGCUACGUCGGGCAGAUAGUCCAGCUGGUCCACGGGAAGCCUCGGGAGACGCGCCCACCUCCCGAAGCAGUAGAGAAUGUGCUGGCGGGGCCCCGGCAGGGCUCAGGAGUUCACUUGGGCCCCCUCGCCAGCCCGGGUGGGGGCAGGAGGCGAAGCUGCAGAAAUGAGCUGCCGAUGGCUGCGUGCUGGGGCCCGGGGGUCUGGGCCACGUGGGCACAGAUAGCCUGAUGAGCGGCCUCCGGGGCCGGCCCUGCACAGGCUGGCAACCGGUGACAGAACAGAGGGACCGUUCCCAGGGGCACCACUCAGUCUGUACCAUCAAAAGAAAUCAAGGGUGAUGAGGGGCACCUGCCUGGGUGGCUCAGUCGGGUAAGUGUCUGAUUUUGGCCUAGGUCAUGAUUUCACGGUUUGUGAGUUCGAGCCCCGUGUCAGGCUCUGUGCUGACAGCUCAGAGGGCCCGGAGCCUGCCUCUGGUUCUGUGUCUCCCUCUCUCUGCCCCUCCCCUGUUCAUACUCUGUCUCUGUCUCUCUCUCUCAAAAAUAAGUUAAAUUUUAAGAAAUGGUGGACGACGACCUCCAGGCCAACUUGCCUCCACACUCUGGCGUUAGGGCACCUCAGAUGUAUAGCCUCAGCCGGACCUGGGUGUCCCCCGCCCCGUCUCGCUGUGCCCACUGGGCACUUCGGAUGUCCUGC